UACAGAGGGUGCGAGCGUUAAUCGGAAUUACUGGGCGUAAAGGGCGCGUAGGCGGAUAAAUAAGUUAGAUGUGAAAUCCCUGGGCUUAACCUAGGACCUGCAUUUAAAACUGUUUAACUAGAGUGCAGUAGAGGGUAGCGGAAUUUCCGGUGUAGCGGUGAAAUGCGUAGAUAUCGGAAGGAACACCAGUGGCGAAGGCGGCUACCUGGACUGACACUGACGCUGAGGCGCGAGAGCGUGGGGAGCAAACAGG
Molecule: ribosomal RNA, 253 nt
Filed under: uncultured bacterium
Lineage: Bacteria
Description: partial 16S ribosomal RNA
Rfam family: Bacterial small subunit ribosomal RNA
Source: RNAcentral